Molecule: ribosomal RNA, 482 nt
Filed under: uncultured bacterium
Lineage: Bacteria
Description: partial 16S ribosomal RNA
Rfam family: Bacterial small subunit ribosomal RNA
Source: RNAcentral
AAUGAACGUUGGCGGCGUGGAUUAGGCAUGCAAGUCGAGCGAGAACCGUAGCAAUACGGGGACAGCGGCGCAAGGGAGAGUAAUACGUGGAUACCUACCCUCGGGUCCGGGAUGGCUGCGGGAAACUGCAGGUAAUACCGGAUGACAUCUCCGGAUCAAAGGUGUGAUUCCGCCCGGGGAGGGGUCCGCGUCCUAUUAGCUAGUUGGUGAGGUAACGGCUCACCAAGGCUGUGAUGGGUACGGGGUGUGAGAGCAUGCCCCCGCUCACUGGGACUGAGACACUGCCCAGACACCUACGGGUGGCUGCAGUCGAGAAUCUUCGGCAAUGGGCGCAAGCCUGACCGAGCGACGCCGCGUGCGAGAUGAAGGCCUUCGGGUUGUAAAUCGCUGUCAGAGGGGAGGAAAUGCCGGUGGGUUCUCUCAUCGGUUUGACCUAUCCUCAGAGGAAGGACGUGCUAAGUUCGUGCCAGCAGCCGCCGUAA